This is a long non-coding RNA of Vombatus ursinus (common wombat), 336 nucleotides long. RefSeq lists it as uncharacterized. NCBI's taxonomy places the organism in Eukaryota, Metazoa, Chordata, Mammalia, Diprotodontia, Vombatidae. The transcript has 3 exons. The record is from RefSeq and is a predicted model, not a curated record.
AUUAAAUUACCAAGAAACUCAACUGAGGCAGAGGUUUUAAAGUGCAUCACAUCUUUGAAUGAAGACCCUACUGUACAUGGACUCCUGGUCCAGUUACCUUUGGAUGCAGAAAAGACCAUUAGCACUGAGCUGGUGACAAAUACCAUCGCUCCCGAAAAGGAUGUGGAUGGUUUGACUAGCGUCAGUGCUGGGAAGCUUGCUAGAGGUGACUUAGAGGAUUGUUUCAUUCCCUGUACACCUAAAGGAUGCUUGGAACUUAUCAAAAAGACAGGUAAGGCUAAUUUUUCAGAGCCUCCCCUUUUUUAUCGUCUUUUAUUAAUGUUUAUACUUUCUAUU